AAAAGUCGUAACAAGGUUUCCGUAGGUGAACCUGCGGAAGGAUCAUUAUUGAAUAUUCUUGAUGGGUUGUAGCUGGCUCUUCGGAGUAUGUGCACGCCUGUCUUGACUCUAUUCAUCCACCUGUGCACCUUUUGUAGUCUUGGGGGUUGAGAACAGUCAACUAUCGGACGGCUAUUAUGGCCUUUCGGACGUGAGAAUUGCUGAGUGCGAAAGCAUACACGUAUUCUUAAAAUGACUUGUAACCUCUCCUUCGAGCACUAUGUUUUCAUAUACCACAUAGUAUGUUGUAGAAUGUGAUCAAUGGGCCUACGUGCCUAUAAUAAUCAUAUACAACUUUCAGCAACGGAUCUCUUGGCUCUCGCAUCGAUGAAGAACGCAGCGAAAUGCGAUAAGUAAUGUGAAUUGCAGAAUUCAGUGAAUCAUCGAAUCUUUGAACGCACCUUGCGCUCCUUGGUAUUCCCAGGAGCAUGCCUGUUUGAGUGUCCUUAAAUUCUCAACCCCUCCAGCUUUUGUUAGUUGCGAGUGGGGCUUGGAUGUUGGGAGCUUGCGGGCCUCAUAUAAUAGAGGUCAGCUCUCCUUAAAUGCAUUAGCGGAACCGUUUGCAGUCCCGUCACUAGUGUGAUAAUUAUCUACACUGUGAUGAUUGCUCUCUGGCUUGUUCAGCUACUAAUCGUCCUUUGCCGGACAAUGUAUAAUGAACAUCUUGACCUCAAAUCAGGUAGGACUACCCGCUGAACUUAAGCAUAUCAAUAAGGCGGACCA
This 762-nucleotide ribosomal RNA is filed under the name Calvatia bicolor. RNAcentral describes it as "eukaryotic LSU rRNA". The stretch from base 332 to 485 matches the Rfam family "5.8S ribosomal RNA". The record is from RNAcentral. Lineage: Eukaryota; Fungi; Basidiomycota; Agaricomycetes; Agaricales; Lycoperdaceae.